GGGGAUCGUUUUCCCGGAUUAUUGGGCGUAAGAGCUCGUAGGCGGUUUGUCGCGUCUGCUGUGAAAACUGGAGGCUCAACCUCCAGCCUGCAGUGGGUACGGGCAAACUAGAGUGCGGUAGGGGAGAUUGGAAUUCCUGGUGUAGCGGUGGAAUGCGCAGAUAUCAGGAGGAACACCGAUGGCGAAGGCAGAUCUCUGGGCCGUAACUGACGCUGAGGAGCGAAAGCAUGGGGAGCGAACAGGAUUAGAUACCCUGGUAGUCCAUGCCGUAAACGUUGGGAACUAGAUGUGGGGGCCAUUCCACGGCUUCCGUGUCGCAGCUAACGCAUUAAGUUCCCCGCCUGGGGAGUACGGCCGCAAGGCUAAAACUCAAAGGAAUUGACGGGGGCCCGCACAAGCGGCGGAGCAUGCGGAUUAAUUCGAUGCAACGCGAAGAACCUUACCAAGGCUUGACAUAUACGAGAACGCUCUAGAAAUAGAGAACUCUUUGGACACUCGUAUACAGGUGGUGCAUGGUUGUCGUCAGCUCGUGUCGUGAGAUGUUGGGUUAAGUCCCGCAACGAGCGCAACCCUCGUUCUAUGUUGCCAGCACGUAAUGGUGGGAACUCAUAGGAGACUGCCGGGGUCAACUCGGAGGAAGGUGGGGAUGACGUCAAAUCAUCAUGCCCCUUAUGUCUUGGGCUUCACGCAUGCUACAAUGGCCGGUACAAAGGGCUGCAAUACCGCAAGGUGGAGCGAAUCCCAAAAAGCCGGUCUCAGUUCGGAUUGAGGUCUGCAACUCGACCUCAUGAAGUCGGAGUCGCUAGUAAUCGUGGAUCAGCAACGCCACGGUGAAUACGUUCCCGGGCCUUGUACACACCGCCCGUAAUCACUA
This 874-nucleotide ribosomal RNA is filed under the name uncultured Leifsonia sp. RNAcentral describes it as "bacterial SSU rRNA". It matches the Rfam family "Bacterial small subunit ribosomal RNA", at positions 533 to 1405 of the family's 1533-position model. The record is from RNAcentral. Lineage: Bacteria; Bacillati; Actinomycetota; Actinomycetes; Micrococcales; Microbacteriaceae.